RNAcentral lists this non-coding RNA (28 nucleotides) under Homo sapiens (human). Lineage: Eukaryota; Metazoa; Chordata; Mammalia; Primates; Hominidae. The record is from RNAcentral.
UAUAUGUACGUGUUGUGUGCAUAUGUGC